CGGAAUCGCUACGUCUCGCCGGA
RNAcentral lists this non-coding RNA (23 nucleotides) under Arabidopsis thaliana (thale cress). The record is from RNAcentral. Lineage: Eukaryota; Viridiplantae; Streptophyta; Magnoliopsida; Brassicales; Brassicaceae.